Molecule: ribosomal RNA, 492 nt
Filed under: uncultured bacterium
Lineage: Bacteria
Description: partial 16S ribosomal RNA
Rfam family: Bacterial small subunit ribosomal RNA
Source: RNAcentral
AGUGAACGCUGGCGGUAGGCCUAACACAUGCAAGUCGAACGGCAGCACAGUAAGAGCUUGCUCUUACGGGUGGCGAGUGGCGGACGGGUGAGGAAUACAUCGGAAUCUACUUUUUCGUGGGGGAUAACGUAGGGAAACUUACGCUAAUACCGCAUACGACCUACGGGUGAAAGCAGGGGAUCUUCGGACCUUGCGCGAUUGAAUGAGCCGAUGUCGCAUUAGCUAGUUGGCGGGGUAAAGGCCCACCAAGGCGACGAUCCGUAGCUGGUCUGAGAGGAUGAUCAGCCACACUGGAACUGAGACACGGUCCAGACUCCUACGGGAGGCAGCAGUAGGGAAUCUUCGGCAAUGGGCGCAAGCCUGAUGCAGCCAUACCGCGUGGGUGAAGAAGGCCUUCGGGUUGUAAAGCCCUUUUAUUGGGGAAGAACAGCAGCAGAUUAAUACCCCGCUGUUCUGACGGUACCCAGAGAAUAAGCACCGGCUAACUUCGUG